CCUACGGGGAGCAGCAGUCGAGAAUCAUUCACAAUGGGGGAAACCCUGAUGGUGCGACGCCGCGUGGGGGAAUGAAGGUCUUCGGAUUGUAAACCCCUGUCAUGUGGGAGCAAAUUAAAAAGAUAGUACCACAAGAGGAAGAGACGACUAACUCUGUGCCAGCAGCCGCGGUACUACCGAGGUGUCAAGCGUUGUUCGGAAUCACUGGGCGUAAAGCGUGCGUAGGCUGUUUCGUAAGUCGUGUGUGAAAGGCGCGGGCUCAACCCGCGGACGGCACAUGAUACUGCGAGACUAGAGUAAUGGAGGGGGAACCGGAAUUCUCGGUGUAGCAGUGAAAUGCGUAGAUAUCGAGAGGAACACUGGUGGCGAAGGCGGGUUCCUGGACAUUAACUGACACUGAGGCUCGAAAGUGUGGGUAUCAAACAGGAUUAGAUACCCUUGUAGUC
RNAcentral lists this ribosomal RNA (446 nucleotides) under uncultured bacterium. Its description in RNAcentral is "partial 16S ribosomal RNA". It matches the Rfam family "Bacterial small subunit ribosomal RNA", at positions 338 to 795 of the family's 1533-position model. The record is from RNAcentral.